Molecule: long non-coding RNA, 120 nt
Organism: Lynx canadensis (Canada lynx)
Lineage: Eukaryota; Metazoa; Chordata; Mammalia; Carnivora; Felidae
Exons: 3
Source: RefSeq, a predicted model, not a curated record
CUGGUUUAGUGAGCUUAUGUGAUCUAUUGGGAAACUGUUCUGUGUGCACUUCAAAAUAAUGUGUAAUCUGCUGCUUUAGGAUGAAAUGUUCUGAAUAUAUCUCUUAAGUCCAUCUGAUCU